CCUACGGGAGGCUGCAGUGGGGAAUAUUGGGCAAUGGGGGAAACCCUGACCCAGCGACGCCGCGUGAGGGAAGAAGGUUUUCGGAUUGUAAACCUCUGUUCUUGGUGAAGAGUGGAAGACGGUAACCAAGGAGGAAGCCCCGGCUAACUACGUGCCAGCAGCCGCGGUAAUACGUAGGGGGCGAGCGUUGUCCGGAAUGAUUGGGCGUAAAGGGCGCGUAGGCGGCUGUUUAAGUCUGGAGUGGAAGUCCUAUUUUUAAGGUAGGAAUUGCUUUGGAAACUGAGCAGCUUGAGUGCAGGAGAGGUCAUCGGAAUUCCCGGUGUAGCGGUGAAAUGCGUAGAGAUCGGGAGGAACACCAGUGGCGAAGGCGGGUGACUGGACUGCAACUGACGCUGAGGCGCGAAAGUGUGGGGAGCAAACAGGAUUAGAUACCCCGGUAGUC
RNAcentral lists this ribosomal RNA (442 nucleotides) under uncultured Christensenellaceae bacterium. RNAcentral's name for it is "bacterial SSU rRNA". It matches the Rfam family "Bacterial small subunit ribosomal RNA", at positions 338 to 795 of the family's 1533-position model. Lineage: Bacteria; Bacillati; Bacillota; Clostridia; Christensenellales; Christensenellaceae. The record is from RNAcentral.